RNAcentral lists this ribosomal RNA (427 nucleotides) under uncultured prokaryote. RNAcentral's name for it is "bacterial SSU rRNA". It matches the Rfam family "Bacterial small subunit ribosomal RNA", at positions 355 to 774 of the family's 1533-position model. The record is from RNAcentral.
UGAGGAAUUUUGCGCAAUGGGAGCAAUCCUGACGCAGCAACGCCGCGUGGGUGAUGAAGGCCCUCGGGUCGUAAAGCCCUGUCAGGUGGGAAGAAUGUCCCGGGACUGAACAGGUUCCGGGAGUGACGGUACCACCAGAGGAAGCACCGGCUAACUCCGUGCCAGCAGCCGCGGUAAUACGGAGGGUGCACGCGUUAUUCGGAAUUACUGGGCGUAAAGCGCGUGUAGGCGGUCCCGCAAGUCUGAUGUGAAAGCCCCGGGCUUAACCCGUGAAGUGCAUUGGAAACUGUGGGACUUGAGUACUGGAGAGGAUGGGGAAUUCCCGGUGUAGAGGUGAAAGUCGUAGAGAUCGGGAGGAAUAUCAGUGGCGAAGGCGCCCAUCUGGACGGUAACUGACGCUGAGACGCGAAAGCGUGGGGAGCAAACA